This 459-nucleotide ribosomal RNA is filed under the name uncultured bacterium. RNAcentral's name for it is "partial 16S ribosomal RNA". It matches the Rfam family "Bacterial small subunit ribosomal RNA", at positions 338 to 795 of the family's 1533-position model. The record is from RNAcentral.
CCUACGGGUGACAGCAGUGAGGAAUAUUGGUCAAUGGGCGAGAUCCUGAACCAGCCAAGCAGCGUGCGGGAUGACGGCCCCAUGGGUUGUAAACUUCUUUUGUACGGGAAUAACACCCCUGACGUGUCCCGGAUUGCGUGUAUCCGAUGAAAAAGCAUCGGCUAACUCCGUGCCAGCAGCCGCGGUAAUACGGAGGAUGCGAGCGUUAUCCGGAUUUAUUGGGUUUAAAGGGUGCGUAGGCGGUCCGUUAAGUCAGCGGUAAAAUUGCGGGGCUCAACCCCGUCGAGCCGUUGAAACUGGCAGACUUGAGUUGGCGAGAAGUACGCGGAAUGCGCGGUGUAGCGGUGAAAUGCAUAGAUAUCGCGCAGAACUCCGAUUGCGAAGGCAGCGUACCGGCGCCAGACUGACGCUGAGGUACGAAAGCGUGGGGAUCGAACAGGAUUAGAUACCCGGGUAGUC